RNAcentral lists this ribosomal RNA (495 nucleotides) under uncultured bacterium. Its description in RNAcentral is "partial 16S ribosomal RNA". It matches the Rfam family "Bacterial small subunit ribosomal RNA", at positions 36 to 507 of the family's 1533-position model. The record is from RNAcentral.
UCCUCCCUCUUUCUUCGUGCCUAAUACAUGCAAGUAGAACGCUGAAGGAGGAGCUUGCUUCUCUGGAUGAGUUGCGAACGGGUGAGUAACGCGUAGGUAACCUACCUGGUAGCGGGGGAUAACUCUUGGAAACGAUAGCUAAUACCGCAUAAGAGUAGAUGUCGCAUGACAUUUGCUUAAAAGGUGCAAUUGCAUCACUACCAGAUGGACCUGCGUUGUAUUAGCUAGUUGGUGAGGUAACGGCUCACCAAGGCAACGAUACAUAGCCGACCUGAGAGGGGGAUCGGCCACACUGGGACUGAGACACGGCCCAGACUCCUACGGGAGGCAGCAGUAGGGAAUCUUCGGCAAUGGACGGAAGUCUGACCGAGCAACGCCGCGUGAGUGAAGAAGGUUUUCGGAUCGUAAAGCUCUGUUGUAAGAGAAGAACGAGUGUGAGAGUGGAAAGUUCACACUGUGACGGUAUCUUACCAGAAAGGGACGGCUAACUACGUG